CGGCGGCAGUGAAGCCAGGGCUGAACUCUGGUGCCGGGGACAGAGCAGUGUGGUGUCAGGCGCUGCAGGACUGCAACGCCAAGACUGGGGGCCAGAUGCCCAAGCUAAGGGACCCAUGACUCCGCUGUGACCUUGGAACUUGUCCUUGGAAGGAGGAGGGGAGUUGACCGCAUAAGGAAGGAAGUCCUCCAGCCACCACCUCACCCAGCCUAGUUUGGGUGUCCUGACUGUGCUCCCACAGCACAUUUAUAACGCAUGCUAUAAUGUACCUGCAACUGUAAGCUGGAGAGCUGCCACCCCUGGUCUGUGGGCCCUUGGAGGGCCGGGGCCUCAUCUUAUUCCUGCCGCACCCCAUGAACCUGUGUUGGCCAACUUGGAUGGCAGGGGAAGAUCAACAGAAGGUGCCCUCCACCCACGUCCUCCCAGCGCUCACCUUGGUCAGCCUGGGGGCCAAGGCCGCCCGCCCGCCCGCCCGUCCUACUUAAGAGUGGCCCAGUGCUCUGGGGAUGAGAUUAAACACCAGCUUACACCCUGUGGGGGAGAAUGAAAGUUGGAGCAAGAAAUAAAAACCCAAACAAAAAAAUGCAGCUAAUUCCAUCCUGUCAGCGGUGGAUAUUAAAGACUAUG
Molecule: long non-coding RNA, 627 nt
Filed under: Homo sapiens (human)
Lineage: Eukaryota; Metazoa; Chordata; Mammalia; Primates; Hominidae
Description: HSALNT0215084
Source: RNAcentral